Molecule: long non-coding RNA, 3555 nt
Organism: Onychomys torridus (southern grasshopper mouse)
Lineage: Eukaryota; Metazoa; Chordata; Mammalia; Rodentia; Cricetidae
Exons: 2
Source: RefSeq, a predicted model, not a curated record
UUCUCUCUCCCUUCACCUGCCGCGAUCCCUCUCCCUCUCUGCUGUCUACCACUAAUCUCCUCCAGUCCACCUUAACUGGAGCUCCGCCUCUGACCCCCGUCCAGCCCUUUGCUGCUGUCCAGCUCCACCCCCUGCACGCCACCGCCCUGCCCGCCCAUUGGCCUGCACACCCGCCUAUCCCAUUUGGGACGCGCCUAGGGUUCAUCCAGGGAGUGGGUGGAGCUUGGGGCUGGCCUGAAACCAGAAGGGGAGGAAGGCCGAAGACAGUGUCCGCAGUGGCCAGGGAGUGGAGCAGCCCCCUCAGGGACUUCCUCUCCUUCCAGAGGGGCUUCUGUGGGGUCAGCACCUGGGGAGGGAAGGGUAGGAGAGGCUACGGAUAGGCUGCGUGGGAUGAAGACCUAGAAUUGAAAAGGAGUGGGGUCCCGCUAGGGCCUUUAAUCAGUGGAGAACCUGAGACCCCGCAGUGGAAGGGACGUCUUGGCGCAAUCUCACUCACACACGCAGGUGGCGAUAGAGGCCUGGCUGUCUUAGGAUGUCUGCUUGAGUGUAUUUGGGAAGGACCUGCGUUCGUCUUUCAGUGCCCAGCCAACCGGGAAAGGUAGCUUCGGAGCGACGCUUCCCACUGGGCCGGCGGUGCUACGUACCCCAAAAGGGCCCCUCCUACUGGUUUCAAACGGAAUCAAACCCCGCUCUCUCGGGCCAGGUUCGGCCUCGCAGCAGCCGGCCAGGCCGAACCGGGUCGGACUCGUUCUCCCUUCCCAGCCCCCUGCGCAGGGGGCCUCCCUCCCUUUCCAGCAGGUGGCUCCGCAGGACACCAGCUCAACCUGUUGGACCACAAUGGGCGGCGCCAGGGGGCCCUGGCCCUCACCCGGGCUGACCCGGGAUCCCCGAGCAGGGGGAGGGGCGGAGUCGGGCCGUCCCUCCCUCUUUCUCCUUCUCCCCUUGACGUGACUCAGCCUCCAGGCCGCUGCUCUGCCCCUCAGCCAGGGGCGGAAAGUGUGAGGCGCCCCGGAGGGCUGAGGCCAAACCAAACAGCCCCCCAUCCCAGACAUUAUCUCACUGGAGAAUUAGGGGGGCAAUAAGGACUAGUGGAUAGCAGUAGGCAUGGGAAGCUCUGGCUCAAGGAAUCCGUUCCGGGUUUUCCUAUCCUCUUUGUCCUGUUCCCCCCCCCCCCAGCCUCCCUCCUUUCCCCCCCCAGCCCGCCCAGGGUCAAGUCUGAUCUUUGCUCCAGGUUUUCUUAGCAGCCCCGCCGGACUGUUUCCAGUCGGGAGGAUUCCGAGCAAGAUGUGUCGGGGCUGGGUUUUUUCCCUUCCUCGCUGUCAGGGUCUCGCUGACCAGGGAAUGGGCCAUGCCAGGGGCAAGGCGGCAGUGGAGAUGCCAAGUAACAUGGAGAGCAAACCGUUUUCAGGAGAAGGGUACAAGGCCGAGGGAAAGGACUUGGGGGAGGGUAGGACAGUGGUCCAGGACUCCAGAAGGACGAGAGUCUUGUCACUUAGCUCCUGAGGACCCAGACGCGAACUGCUCCGCUGUCCCCUGCCCCUGGAGUGGCCCGGGAUCUUUUGCGGCUGGACUGCCAUCCUCCAGCAGUCCUGGAAAUCUACUGUUAGUUCCUCAGUGACUCUUUCCCAUGCUUUCCUUGUAGUGCAAAUAGUUCCCUUUCACGUUAGGGGGGCACCGACUUGAAAUUCCUGCCUUCUCCCUAACUUUGGUCCCGAAGUGCCAAACCAGAGACAGAGAUGGCCGAGGAGCGCUGGUGGGACCCCGCCCCCUUAUAGGGAGCCCGGCGCCCCCCAUCCCAAUCUGCUGUACACCUGAACUGGUACUGGGAACUGGAAGGCAAGUGUGGGGUCCGCAGGGGGUUCCGGGUGAGGCAACUUUGUAGAUUCUAGACUUUAAUGUAGGAGGAAAGUAGGUGAGCAAACACCCCGAGAGGAAGGUAUUUGUCCUGAGAAGGAAAUAGCCCUAGCAAGAAGGACUUUAUACCCAAGGCUGGGGACAGCGACUCUGAGUGGCGGCCUGGUUUCGAGACUGGCUGGUCCAAGUACACUGCAGAGUGGCUGCUGAGAGGGUACAAGGCUGGUGGAGUCCUGGAGGAAGAGGGCAGUUGGCGGCUGGAGGCGUGGCUCUCCUUGGCGGGGUCCUAAAGUGAGUCUGGGGGCCCGUUUUUGGGUGGGGGGGUGCUGAGCUGAAAGCGGCUUCUCCGCUUGCACCAGGCGCCCACCUAGUCUCUGCUCCCCCGCCCCUUUCCCGCGGCUGCCUCCGCUUCCCUCGAAAAACCCGCCGCCCAGGAAACCGCUGGGGGCGCUCAGACCGCAGCCCCCCCUGCCGCCGCCCCCCAGAACCCCUACCGCGACCGCCCAACCCACCUGAAGAGGCGGUGGCUGCCAGGGGUACUCCCUCCUGCCGACUCCCCCCACACCUGCGGGUAGCACUAUUUAUAACUGCGUGCCUAUUCUGGGCCUCUCGGCUGGAGCGCGCAGCAGCGCUGUGCUAAUCGCCCCUGGGAUCUCUGCGCCCCCCAGGGCUGGGGGAGGUAAAUUUAGCUUCAGGAAGCUCCGGGGAACGUUUUCCAAAACUCCACGUCCCAGAGCAGGCAACACAGAACCCCUCUGCGCGCAGCCUGCUUCCCACUCGCCGCCAGGUGGCGCUAGGCUCCUCCAUCCCAGCCAGCUAGGGGUGUAGGGUAGCGGUCCCGAAAGCCAGGCGGGGUGGAUAAGGAGCUGUGGAUGGCUACAGAUGCUAAUGGAGAAACUUCAGCAGGACGGAAAAGACUGUGGGGUCUGAGAGCCACCUAGAAAAGGGGCCAGAAGGUUUCUGAAUAUGAUUGGAGAAAUAACUCACAUGUAAACGAAAUGCAAAUGAGAGGUAGGGGUGUUUGCCAGCUUCCUCUCUCCGGGUGUCUCUUGGUCUGCUGUGAAAAAUGUGGGACCGGCCCCCUCAGCCCUCAAACUCAUUUUCUUGUGACCCGUUUCUUACCUCUGUGUGUCCCGCCCCCACCUCUGUCUCUCCCACUCUGCUCAAGGUUGCAAAUAGGAUGUAAUCUAUAGAAGAGCUUUUCUCUUUGCCGUGAUACUUGAAGUUUGCUGGUCUGUUCCGUUUCAACCCCAACUAUUCCCUUACCCCUUAUGGCUGCUAGAGGGCCCCAAGGAGCCCAGGGGUAAGCAGUAACUGCCCUUUCUGUCUUGGUAUCUUGCUUCUCUGCCCACCCUAUCCCUGGCAUGAGCUCCUGAAGCAAUAGUUUGAGUGUUCAAGACCUGAGCAGCUCUUUUUGAGAGAGCAUUGGAAGAAGUUGUCACAUUUCCUUUUCCCUUCUAGAAGAAAGGGGACGUUGUUGUCAGGAAAACUAUUCUCGUCUGGAUGGGUUAAACAAAAGGUAUUUGGAUGGGACCUUAAGUUGAUCCAAGGUGCAAAGGUCACAGUGAGCCUAGAGCUUUGAUGGGAAAAGGGUACAGCUUAGGAGAGAUGCCUGCACACUUACAUGGCUUUGCCUCUCACGGCAACUUAACCAUUUCUAUCAGAAGAGGAACGCAGAUUAAAGAGGAACUCUGGUUUUGA